CCUACGGGAGGCAGCAGUGGGGAAUAUUGGGCAAUGGGCGCAAGCCUGACCCAGCAACGCCGCGUGAAGGAAGAAGGCUCUCGGGUUGUAAACUUCUUUUCUCAGGGACGAAGCAAGUGACGGUACCUGAGGAAUAAGCCACGGCUAACUACGUGCCAGCAGCUGCGGUUAUACGUAGGUGGCAAGUGUUAUCCCGAUUUACUGGGUGUAAAGGGCGUGUAGGCGGGACUGCAAGUCAGAUGUGAAAACCACGGGCUCAAACUGUGGCCUGCAGUUGAAACUGUAGUUCUUGAGUACUGGAGAGGCAGACGGAAUUCCUAGUGUAGCGGUGAAAUGCGUAGAUAUUAGGAGGAACACCAGUGGCGAAGGCGGUCUGCUGGACAGCAACUGACGCUGAGGCGCGAAAGCGUGGGGAGCGAACAGGAUUAGAUACCCCGGUAGUC
Molecule: ribosomal RNA, 443 nt
Filed under: uncultured bacterium
Lineage: Bacteria
Description: partial 16S ribosomal RNA
Rfam family: Bacterial small subunit ribosomal RNA
Source: RNAcentral